GUGUCAGCAGCCGCGGUAAAACGUAGGAGGCGAGCGUUAUCCGGAUUUACUGGGUGUAAAGCGCAUGCAGGCGGUUCGCUAAGUUGGAUGUGAAAGCUCCUGGCUUAACUGGGAGAGGUCGUUCAAAACUGACGAACUCGAGGAUGGUAGAGGAAAGCGGAAUUCCGGGUGUAGUGGUGAAAUGCGUAGAUAUCCGGAGGAACACCAGUGGCGAAAGCGGCUUUCUGGACCAUGACUGACGCUCAGAUGCGAAAGCUAGGGUAGCAAACGGGAUUAGAAACCCGGGUAGUCC
Molecule: ribosomal RNA, 292 nt
Filed under: uncultured bacterium
Lineage: Bacteria
Description: partial 16S ribosomal RNA
Rfam family: Bacterial small subunit ribosomal RNA
Source: RNAcentral